This 253-nucleotide ribosomal RNA is filed under the name uncultured bacterium. Its description in RNAcentral is "partial 16S ribosomal RNA". It matches the Rfam family "Bacterial small subunit ribosomal RNA", at positions 524 to 776 of the family's 1533-position model. The record is from RNAcentral.
UACAGAGGGGGCAAGCGUUGUUCGGAAUUACUGGGCGUAAAGGGCGCGUAGGCGGCCUGUUAAGUCGAACGUGAAAUCCCCGGGCUCAACCCGGGAACUGCGUCCGAUACUGGCAGGCUUGAAUCCGGGAGAGGGAUGCGGAAUUCCAGGUGUAGCGGUGAAAUGCGUAGAUAUCGUCUGGAACGCCGAAGGUGAAAACAGCUCGCUGGGGUUGUGCUGACGCUGAGACACGAAAGCCAGGGGAGCGAACGGG